UGAGUAACCUGCCCUUAACUCUGGGAUAAGCCUGGGAAACUGGGUCUAAUGCCGGAUAUGACUCCUCAUCGCAUGGUGGGGGGUGGAAAGCUUUUUGUGGUUUUGGAUGGACUCGCGGCCUAUCAGCUUGUUGGUGAGGUAAUGGCUCACCAAGGCGACGACGGGUAGCCGGCCUGAGGGAGGGUCGACCCGGCCACACGUGGGACUGAGACGACCGGCCCAGACCUCCGGUACGGGGAGGC
RNAcentral lists this ribosomal RNA (242 nucleotides) under uncultured bacterium. Its description in RNAcentral is "partial 16S ribosomal RNA". It matches the Rfam family "Bacterial small subunit ribosomal RNA", at positions 118 to 349 of the family's 1533-position model. The record is from RNAcentral.